RNAcentral lists this ribosomal RNA (497 nucleotides) under uncultured bacterium. RNAcentral describes it as "partial 16S ribosomal RNA". It matches the Rfam family "Bacterial small subunit ribosomal RNA", at positions 28 to 507 of the family's 1533-position model. The record is from RNAcentral.
GACGAACGCUGGCGGCGUGCCUAAUACAUGCAAGUUGAGCGAUGAAGAUUGGUGCUUGCACCAAUUUGAAGAGCAGCGAACGGGUGAGUAACGCGUGGGGAAUCUGCCUUUGAGCGGGGGACAACAUUUGGAAACGAAUGCUAAUACCGCAUAACAACUUUAAACAUAAGUUUUAAGUUUGAAAGAUGCAAUUGCAUCACUCAAAGAUGAUCCCGCGUUGUAUUAGCUAGUUGGUGAGGUAAAGGCUCACCAAGGCGAUGAUACAUAGCCGACCUGAGAGGGUGAUCGGCCACAUUGGGACUGAGACACGGCCCAAACUCCUACGGGAGGCAGCAGUAGGGAAUCUUCGGCAAUGGACGAAAGUCUGACCGAGCAACGCCGCGUGAGUGAAGAAGGUUUUCGGAUCGUAAAACUCUGUUGGUAGAGAAGAACGUUGGUGAGAGUGGAGAGCUCAUCAAGUGACGGUAACUACCCAGAAAGGGACGGCUAACUACGUG